Molecule: ribosomal RNA, 359 nt
Filed under: Poecilochaetus sp. GF-19939_25342
Lineage: Eukaryota; Metazoa; Annelida; Polychaeta; Spionida; Poecilochaetidae
Description: partial large subunit ribosomal RNA
Rfam family: Bacterial large subunit ribosomal RNA
Source: RNAcentral
GUGCUAAGGUAGCAUAAUCAUUUGCCUCUUAAUUAGAGGCUAGUAUGAAUGGACAAACGUGAGUCAAGCCGUCUCUUCUCUAUAAAUAAAAAUUAAUCUUUAGGUGAAAAAGCCUAAAUUCUAUAAAAAGACAAAAAGACCCUAUUGAGUUUUAUUACAUAAGCUUUAACCUAUAAUAAAAUAAAUUUCUCAAGUCAAAAGUAAUUUAGUUGGGGCGACUGAGGAAAAAAAUAAAUCUUCCUUAAAGUUUAAGGAUAUAAACCUAUUUAAUGAUCCGCAGAAGCGAUUAAAAGAAAUAACUACCAUAGGGAUAACAGGCUAAUUUCCUUCAAGAGCCCAUAUUGACAAGGAGGUUUGGC